RNAcentral lists this ribosomal RNA (253 nucleotides) under uncultured bacterium. RNAcentral's name for it is "partial 16S ribosomal RNA". It matches the Rfam family "Bacterial small subunit ribosomal RNA", at positions 524 to 776 of the family's 1533-position model. The record is from RNAcentral.
GACAGAGGAUGCAAGCGUUAUCCGGAAUGAUUGGGCGUAAAGCAUCUGUAGGUGGCUUUUCAAGUCCGCCGUCAAAUCCCAGGGCUCAACCCUGGACAAGCGGUGGAAACUACCAAGCUGGAGUACGGUAGGGGCAGAGGGAAUUUCCGGUGGAGCGGUGAAAUGCAUUGAGAUCGGAAAGAACACCAACGGCGAAAGCACUCUACUGGGCCGACACUGACACUGAGAGACGAAAGCUAAGGGAGCAAAUGGG